RNAcentral lists this ribosomal RNA (253 nucleotides) under uncultured bacterium. RNAcentral describes it as "partial 16S ribosomal RNA". It matches the Rfam family "Bacterial small subunit ribosomal RNA", at positions 524 to 776 of the family's 1533-position model. The record is from RNAcentral.
UACGGGGGGUGCUAGCGUUGUUCGGAAUCAUUGGGCGUAAAGGGCGCGCAGGCGGUUUGAAUAGUCAGAUGUGAAAGCCCACGGCUUAACCGUGGAAGUGCAUUUGAAACUGUCAGACUUGAGUACCAGAGGGGAAAGUGGAAUUCCCGGUGUAGAGGUGAAAUUCGUAGAUAUCGGGAGGAAUACCGGUGGCGAAGGCGACUUUCUGGCUGGAUACUGACGCUGAGGCGCGAAAGCGUGGGGAGCAAACAGG